This is a long non-coding RNA of Gorilla gorilla gorilla (western lowland gorilla), 1313 nucleotides long. RefSeq lists it as uncharacterized. The record is from RefSeq and is a predicted model, not a curated record. The transcript is spliced from 4 exons. Lineage: Eukaryota; Metazoa; Chordata; Mammalia; Primates; Hominidae.
GAGGGAGGGUGGGGACUUUGUGGGCGGGCGCGGGCUUGGCCGCGGACUCUAACCCGCGACGGCAGUUAGCACGUCACGCCUUUCUGGGGUUAAAAAAAGACAAACCCGACAGAGAAAGCUUCCUUCUACCGCUUCCUCUCCGCCUUUCUUUUCAGUUUUUGCACCGCCUCCUUUCUCCCCCACCCCCUCCAGUGGUUUCUUUCGUUUGGGUUUGAGAGCCAUGGGUUAAUAGAGGCAAUUAAAAUCUCAGCGUUGUUUUGGUCAAAUUGAAAUCCUAAAACUAAAAUUUCCGUUAGGUACUCUAAAUUCACGAGCCUUCAAAUAUAAAAGGAAGAUAAGGCGAAUGAAAAGAGAGAGAGAAUGGUGACCAGAGGAGGACAGUUCAAUCUUUUUCAAUAACAUUCAGAACUAUCCAAUAUUUAUUGAGUGUCUAUUAGGUGCCAAGCACCUUAAUAGGUCCUAUGGAUUUGAAAUGCCGUCCCUGUCUUAGAUCUCACGGUCUACUGGAGGACACAGAGAAGUAAGCAGGCAGUUGCAGUACAAUGUAACACUGAGUGCUGUCUGUGUGUGAUGUCAUUUCAGCAAAGCUUCAGAAGGCAGAGGGGAAGCUCUUCCAUCAACCUUAUACCUACAAUAAUUUGUUUCCCUUGCAAUUAGGUGCUGCUGCAAGACUGAGUUCCAGCCAGUGGAAUGUGUGCAACUUCCAGGCCUGGCCCAUAAAGACCUCUUGCAUAUGAGCCUUUCACUCUUCUCCCAUCUGAUAGCUGGAUGUUGACGUCAAGGAUGAUGCUAGACGCCAGAUGUGGAAGAUAGAAAAGCCUCUACCUGCCUGGGUCCCUACUGGCAAUUUAUAACCAGGAAAUUGAUCUGUGAGGUUAAGUGAGAAAUUAGCAUUUAAUUUGCUGUGUGUGAUUUUAAACAUUACUAUUUUAAAAGAUUGUGGAAAAAUACAUAUGACAUAAAAUUGACCAUGUUAACCAUUUUUAAGUGCACAGUUCUGUGGCAUUAAGUACAGUCACAUAGUUGUGCAACCAUCACCCCCAUCCUUCUCCAGAAGUCUUUUCAUCUUGCAAAACUGAGAUUCUGUACCCAUUUAACAAUAACUCCCCAUUCCCUGGAAACCACUCUUCUACCUUGCGUCUCUAUGAAUGGAAUCACACAAUAUUUGUCCUUCUGUAACUGGCUUAUUCACUUAAACAUUUAAUCUUAUAAGCCACUGAAAUUUGGGAUGUGUUUGUUAUAACAGCUAGAAUUACAUACUGUGUGCCUGGAACAGAGUAGAUCCUCAAAUAAAUGUUUGCUGAGUAAGUGAA